RNAcentral lists this ribosomal RNA (235 nucleotides) under uncultured bacterium. Its description in RNAcentral is "partial 16S ribosomal RNA". It matches the Rfam family "Bacterial small subunit ribosomal RNA", at positions 120 to 354 of the family's 1533-position model. The record is from RNAcentral.
AGUAACCUGCCUUGGAGUGGGGAAUAACAGCUGGAAACAGCUGCUAAUACCGCAUAAUGCAGUUGGGUCGCAUGGCUCUGACUGCCAAAGAUUUAUCGCUCUGAGAUGGACUCGCGUCUGAUUAGCUAGUUGGCGGGGCAACGGCCCACCAAGGCGACGAUCAGUAGCCGGACUGAGAGGUUGGCCGGCCACAUUGGGACUGAGACACGGCCCAGACUCCUACGGAAGGCAGCAG